GUCGAGGGGCAGCGGAUUGAAGCUUGCUUCAAUGCCGGCGACCGGCGCACGGGUGAGUAACGCGUAUCCACCUUCCGCAUACUCGGGGAUAGCCUCCUGAAAAGGAGAUUAAUACCCGAUGGUAUUGCAUUAAUAAAGAAUUUCGGUAUGCGAUGGGGAUGCGUUCCAUUAGGUAGUAGGCGGGGUAACGGCCCACCUAGCCAACGAUGGAUAGGGGUUCUGAGAGGAAGGUCCCCCACAUUGGAACUGAGACACGGUCCAAACUCUACGGGAGGCAGCAGUGAGGAAUAUUGGUCAAUGGACGAGAGUCUGAACCAGCCAAGUAGCGUGAAGGAUGAAGGUUUAUGGAUUGUAAACUUCUUUUAUAAGGGAAUAAACCUCCCACGUGUGGGAGCUUGUAUGUACCUUAUGAAUAAGCAUCGGCUAACUCCGUGCCAGCAGCCGCGGUAAUACGGAGGAUGCGAGCGUUAUCCGGAUUUAUUGGGUUUAAGGGGAGCGCAGACGGGGGAUUAAGUCGGUUGUGAAAGUUUGGGGCUCAACCUUAAAAUUGCAGUUGAUACUGGUUCUCUUGAGUGCAGUUGAGGCAGGCGGAAUUCGUGGUGUAGCGGUGAAAUGCUUAGAUAUCACGAAGAACCCCGAUUGCGAAGGCAGCCUGCUAAACUGUAACUGACGUUCAUGCUCGAAAGUGUGGGUAUCAAACAGGAUUAGAUACCCUGGUAGUCCACACGGUAAACGAUGGAUACUCGCUGUUGG
RNAcentral lists this ribosomal RNA (753 nucleotides) under uncultured bacterium. RNAcentral describes it as "bacterial SSU rRNA". It matches the Rfam family "Bacterial small subunit ribosomal RNA", at positions 61 to 826 of the family's 1533-position model. The record is from RNAcentral.